GUACGAUUGUGCUGCACAUUAGCAAAGAAAUACCUGUGCAUUUGGCACAAGGGCGAAUUCUCAUCUUCGGGGGAGAGAAGUUGGGAAAGUACUGUAAUGUACAAAAUAUGAGGGUUCAGAAAGGAUUUUUUUCUCCCUUUCUGACUCUGCCAUUAUAGCCCUCCUGCACUGGGAACUGGAUUUCCCAGUGCCUGCCAAAAACUUCCAGAUAUCCUGGGGGAGUUCCCACAGUGCAAACACAGAAAAAUGCUACUGAUGAGCUCUUAUUCUAAUACACUUGAACAGCUUGAAUCUGCAUUAUCAAAAGUUUUCCAAGCUCUUCAGGCAUAAAACCAUUUACGGUGCACUUCCCAGGUAAUUUUAGAAGUAGAAUUUGUCUCAUGGGAGAUUGAUUGGCCCCACUCAUCAUACCCCUCGAGUGUCAGAUGCUUUGGAUCUCACUGCUGGCUGGGAGCAGCCCAACUUGGGGCAGUGCUGCAUUGCAACAAGAAGCUCGACUGCUCACCAGGAACCUCAGCACUG
RNAcentral lists this long non-coding RNA (522 nucleotides) under Gallus gallus (chicken). Lineage: Eukaryota; Metazoa; Chordata; Aves; Galliformes; Phasianidae. The record is from RNAcentral.